AUGUGGUUUAAUUCGAAGCAACGCGCAGAACCUUACCAGCCCUUGACAUCCCGGUCGCGAAAAGUAGAGAUACUUUUUUUCAGUUAGGCUGGACCGGUGACAGGUGCUGCAUGGCUGUCGUCAGCUCGUGUCGUGAGAUGUUGGGUUAAGUCCCGCAACGAGCGCAACCCUCGCCUUUAGUUGCCAUCAUUAAGUUGGGCACUCUAGAGGGACUGCCGGUGAUAAGCCGGAGGAAGGUGGGGAUGACGUCAAGUCCUCAUGGCCCUUAUGGGCUGGGCUACACACGUGCUACAAUGGCGCUGACAGAGGGCAGCUAGCUCGCGAGAGUAAGCUAAUCCCAAAAAGGCGCCUCAGUUCAGAUUGCACUCUGCAACUCGAGUGCAUGAAGUCGGAAUCGCUAGUAAUCGUGGAUCAGCAUGCCACGGUGAAUACGUUCCCGGGCCUUGUACACACCGCCCGUG
This 461-nucleotide ribosomal RNA is filed under the name uncultured Alphaproteobacteria bacterium. Its description in RNAcentral is "bacterial SSU rRNA". It matches the Rfam family "Bacterial small subunit ribosomal RNA", at positions 939 to 1398 of the family's 1533-position model. Lineage: Bacteria; Pseudomonadati; Pseudomonadota; Alphaproteobacteria. The record is from RNAcentral.